GGCAAAGUCAUUCGGUUCUCCACAAAGAGCUAGCGUGUGAGGAGGUUUCGCUUAUCGCGGAAGACUGACCGUUUGAAGGAAGAUAUCUAAAGAGAAGACUAAACGCGUCCUGCUUUUCUGUUGUAUUAAAAAAAAAAGCCAUGGAGGCGAAGCUUGGGGCAUGUUUGGUCGUGAUGUUGGUUAUUUUGGGGACUGUAACCGUACAAGGAGCAAUACCAAGACACGAGACGUUUGCCAGGCGACCUGACUCGCCCCGUGAGGAUGAGGGCAAGAGAUCCGCUCGUCAGAGGUGUCCCCCUCCUUUAAAACCCUGCGGUGAAGCCGGCUGCUGUGAACGAUUUCGCAAAUGAUGGCGGCAAUGAUGUCUCAUCAAUGGAAUGACGGCCUUAACUUAGUAACAAAAUGAUUAGUUGGUAAAAUAAGGCUUGAAGAAGUAACUGAGUAAAUGUGGGUAAUGAGUAAAUGCGGAUAAACUUAAAACUUUAACGAAAAUGUAACAAGGCGAUAAAUAAAGGCUUAAUCAUUCAAAAACA
Orbicella faveolata is the source of this 533-nucleotide long non-coding RNA. RefSeq lists it as uncharacterized. The record is from RefSeq and is a predicted model, not a curated record. Lineage: Eukaryota; Metazoa; Cnidaria; Anthozoa; Scleractinia; Merulinidae.